Molecule: non-coding RNA, 1711 nt
Organism: Phalacrocorax carbo (great cormorant)
Lineage: Eukaryota; Metazoa; Chordata; Aves; Suliformes; Phalacrocoracidae
Source: RefSeq, a predicted model, not a curated record
GUUUCUGGGAGCCUUCUGUACUGAUCAAACCACUAUCAGAAAUAACCAUUCCUUGUCUAGGAGGGUGGAGAGUAAAGCAAGAAUGUCUGUGGGUGUUUCAGUCUACUCCCUCCGGUUUUGUUUCUGAAAUAUUUACUUAAGUGUAUUUGAACGAAAGGCUGUUGAACUUGGUCUUUGUGAAAGCCUAGUAGCUUUGGUCAUUUGUAACUUUGCAUGCUGAGAGACUAAGGGGUUUGUAGCUGCUGUAGUUGAUGCCUUCCUGAUAAUUCUGUUCCCGUUUUUCAGCAGUGGAACAGUGUUUGUGUGACUUCUGAUGAACAGCAGGGGUCUGACUUUAUAUGCCAGCAAAAAUUAUCUAUUCAAUAGCGGGUUACUUGGCAGGGAGAAUCAUCUACCUCUUUUGUAGUUGCUGCCCAAAGGGGAAGAAUAUAUGGAACUCAUGGUGUUGCGAAGUUAGGCCAUGGGACUCCAAGGGCUGGAUCUUCAUGAACAGCACCCAGCCACGAAGCAAGACAAAACUAUUCGCGAGGCUCCACAGCACAAUUCCAGAUUCCCUUGCACUAAACUGCCCCUCUCCUGUUUUCACAUCCCUGUCUCACAAACUGUACAGAGAGCAACAGAGUGCACCCAGAGCCCUGUGUGCCUCCAGCCAUAAGCAUCUUGCUGAGUGCUUGCUGCUAGUCCUGCCUGGGUAAAGAGAGACAUGGGCACCAGCGCAGCGUCACUGCAUUCGUCCUGGGAGGUUUGUCUUUCUGCUGUUACCUCACUCCCAGUAGCCCGCUAGUGCAAACCAGCAGGCAGCGACAGAUUGAAAAAUCUUCAGAGUGACUUCUCUGGGCUAGAGGAAAUCAAUAUAUGAAGUUUUAUGUAUGAUGUACAUCUGUAGAGGAAGAGAUUUCUUUUCUGUCUUGUGCUGCUGUGCUCCCUAGUGGGAUGCAUUCACCGACAGUCAGUAUCUAUUUGAAUUAUUAACUUGGGCAGAGUUAUUAAAUGUAAACCCUGGCACCUUAUGUUUAGCACAAGAUAAAAUGCUGGGAUAAGCCAGUCAGAGAAAGCCUCUGACUUACAGUGGUUUGGGCAAUACUUAAAUCGUUCCUCAGCUCCAUACUCUCCCAUACCUCCCUUCCCCCUUCCUCCCUCCCACCUUCUUUGCCUCGUUCACACACGGCUUCCAGUUUUGGACCCUGAAGAUUCAGAUCUUAAACUUUUUCAAAGUGCUACCUAUUUUUAUAAUGCUUUGUAUUUGCCUAUGUGGCUCAUUUGCAUAGCCCCAAAUCAGCAUAAACCCUAACCUCAUCUCACUAAGGGGAUUUACCUGUAACCAACCGAAUUUGGUUUGCUAAUGAAGUAGUCGGAUUCCCAGACAGCUAAGAUACACCUUGAUGGCUUCUUAGAAAGCGAAUUCUCUCACCUGGAAUGAAUUUCAGUACCCAAUAAAAAAGGACACUUGUUUUGACACUUGGUCUUCAAAACCCAGGACACAACAACAGGGAAAGACGUGCAGAAAAAGGGUUUUGAAAGUGUAAUCAAAAAGAAGAAGCUGGAGUUCAUCUCAGAAAUGUCAGAUUUGGGCCAAUAAACACUGCUGCGGUCAGUUUCCCUUUCCAUGCAACAAUAAAUAUAACAAUAGCAAAUAUGCAAACCCAACGAUUAUUAACAAUGCCUUAGUAAUAAAUGUGUACAAAUAAAUAAUAAGUAAUUCCAGCCCAUG